RNAcentral lists this small nuclear RNA (337 nucleotides) under Neogale vison (American mink). Its description in RNAcentral is "Neovison vison (American mink) 7SK RNA (ENSNVIG00000009955.1)". It matches the Rfam family "7SK RNA". Rfam says of the family: 7SK was discovered as an abundant small nuclear RNA in the mid-70s but a possible function has only recently been suggested. Two independent studies have found that 7SK RNA binds the CDK9/cyclin T complex (known as elongation factor P-TEFb). Lineage: Eukaryota; Metazoa; Chordata; Mammalia; Carnivora; Mustelidae. The record is from Rfam by way of RNAcentral.
GGAUGUGAGGGUGAUCUGGCUGCGACAUCUGUCACCCCAUUGAUCGCCAGGGUUGAUUCAGCUGAUCUGGCUGGCUAGGCGGGUGUCCCUUCCUCCCUCACCGCUCCAUGUGCGUCCCUCCCGAAGCUGUGCGCUCGGUCGAAGAGGACGACCUUCCCCGAUAGAGGAGAGGACCGUUCUUCGGUCAAGGGUAUACGAGUAGCUGCGCUCCCCUGCUAGAACCUCCAAACAAGCUCUCAUAUUUACUUCACUUUUUUUUAAUCAUGAAAGGGUGUUGAAUUGUCAAAUGAUUUUUCUGCAUCAAUUGAGAUGAUCAUGUGGUUUUUUCCCCUUCAUU